GAUGAACGCUAGCUACAGGCUUAACACAUGCAAGUCGAGGGGCAGCAUGGGAGUUGCUUGCAAUUCCUGAUGGCGACCGGCGCACGGGUGAGUAACGCGUAUCCAACCUUCCCCUUAGUAGGGCAUAGCCCGGUGAAAAUCGGAUUAAUACCCUAUGUUCUUCACAGCAGACAUCUAACGUGAAGCAAAGGUUUACCGCUAAGGGAUGGGGAUGCGUCUGAUUAGGUAGUAGGCGGGGUAACGGCCCACCUAGCCUUCGAUCAGUAGGGGUUCUGAGAGGAAGGUCCCCCACAUUGGAACUGAGACACGGUCCAAACUCCUACGGGAGGCAGCAGUGAGGAAUAUUGGUCAAUGGGCGAGAGCCUGAACCAGCCAAGUAGCGUGCAGGAUGACGGCCCUAUGGGUUGUAAACUGCUUUUAUAUGGGGAUAAAGUUCACCACGUGUGGUGUUUUGCAGGUACCAUAUGAAUAAGGACCGGCUAAUUCCGUGCCAGCCGCCGCGGUAACAC
Molecule: ribosomal RNA, 509 nt
Filed under: uncultured bacterium
Lineage: Bacteria
Description: bacterial SSU rRNA
Rfam family: Bacterial small subunit ribosomal RNA
Source: RNAcentral